GAUGUUCAACUACAUCCCGUUUAUUCAAUAUGGUUCAGGGAUUUUUUCAGCUGCCAUAACUUUAAUUCCGUAGAUCCCAGUGUCAAAUUUUCUUUCUAAACUUCUUUAUAAAAAAAAACUACCACUGUAGCCUGGGCUGUUGACUAUCACAAUGAAAGACUACAGGCCAGAGGGCUGUGAUCUAAUGAAAGACUACAGGAGGGCUGUGAUCUAAUGAAAGACUACAGGAGACCUGUUGACUAUCACAAUGAAAGACUACAGGAAAGUGAGUGACCAGUUUCCCGGCCACCCACCUACAGCUCCGGAGCCCCGGUUUAUAACCCACACACUACAUGGGUGAACUGCAACAAGUCAAAAACGUAGGAGGAAGGGGAUCUUUUACCCUCGAUCCCAGGCCGCACUGAAGAUGAGGCCUUCUUGUGUGAAGGAGGCCAGCUAGGAUCUUUGUGUAUAGAUCUACCUACGUACUCUCUGAGCUGAGGCUGAACACAGAAAAGGUACUGAUUGUAAGUACUUGGGUAUCAAGUACAGUGCUACAAUCGAAACAUGACAGUGGAGGGAGUUUAAUAAUACAGCAGAUAAUUAGGGUAGGUAUUAAGAGUAUAGAUGGACCCGGUAUAGCCGUACCGUCUAGUUCUCUAUUGUGUGUGUAGCUGACUGGGGUCAGUUCUCAGUGAGCGUCCCCUCAAGUCUGGGGGGGGUUAUGUUGUGGGGUUCAUGGCUUGCCUGCUGUGUUUGUUUGACUGGAGGGGUCAACGGAGCUGGAGGUACUAGUAACGGAGGUGUAUCAGAAAGUGAACUAAAGAGAGGUGGUCUCAACAAGAUAGCCAGCUGCUCGGACGAGGGGACAAGAAAUGACUUCUCUGAACCACUACUACAAGAUAUUGUGACACACUUUGUUUGCAGUUGGCAAACAAUGACAACGAUUAUGGAAGGCCUUAAAUGGACUUGUUUUCCAUGGCAACCUGCACUUACACACUUGGUACAAAGAGAACAAUUUAUAAUGUGUGAUGUUGACUCUUUUAAUACUGCUAAUCAGGAAUACUAUACAAUGUCUGCACGAUUGUUGCUCUCAAAAUUAAUAGUGCAAUGUUUAAUUCAGAA
This is a long non-coding RNA of Halichondria panicea, 1104 nucleotides long. RefSeq lists it as uncharacterized. The record is from RefSeq and is a predicted model, not a curated record. NCBI's taxonomy places the organism in Eukaryota, Metazoa, Porifera, Demospongiae, Suberitida, Halichondriidae. The transcript is spliced from 2 exons.